This 115-nucleotide microRNA precursor is filed under the name Morus notabilis. Its description in RNAcentral is "mir-395 microRNA precursor family". It matches the Rfam family "mir-395 microRNA precursor family". From Rfam's summary of the family: mir-395 was identified in both Arabidopsis thaliana and Oryza sativa computationally and was later experimentally verified. mir-395 is thought to target mRNAs coding for ATP sulphurylases. The mature sequence is excised from the 3' arm of the hairpin. The record is from Rfam by way of RNAcentral. Lineage: Eukaryota; Viridiplantae; Streptophyta; Magnoliopsida; Rosales; Moraceae.
AUGUCUCCUGUAGUUCCCUUGAACGCUUCAGUAGUUGGGUUAAUUAAGACCCUUUAGAAGUUGGCACUAUGUAGUCCAACCCCACUGAAGUGUUUGGGGGAACUCCUGGUGCCAU